ACUCCUACGGGAGGCAGCAGUGGGGAAUAUUGGACAAUGGGCGCAAGCCUGAUCCAGCAAUGCCGCGUGUGUGAAGAAGGCCUGCGGGUUGUAAAGCACUUUCAGUGGGGAAGAACGCCUUGUGGUUAAUACCCACGAGGGUUGACCUUACCCACAGAAGAAGCACCGGCUAACUCCGUGCCAGCAGCCGCGGUAAU
RNAcentral lists this ribosomal RNA (197 nucleotides) under uncultured bacterium. RNAcentral's name for it is "partial 16S ribosomal RNA". It matches the Rfam family "Bacterial small subunit ribosomal RNA", at positions 335 to 524 of the family's 1533-position model. The record is from RNAcentral.